AUCUUUUCAUCUAAGGAAUACUGGGAAUAGUAGGAAAUUACUUCCUGUUAUCCAAGAAAUUUACAACAGAGAUAGAACGCCAGGCGGGGCAGUUCGUCAGACUUGCUGCUGAGACCCCUCGUGUAUUCGGGCAGAUUCCCGCCAUCUGACUCGGAUGCCCGCCCAACGAAUGAAUAAUUACUAAAUCACCUCGAGUCUGCUCUGGCCGUCCGAGACAUGGCGACGAGGAUGGGAUCUAAGGGCACGGUAAUGGAGAUUAACUUAAUCGGGUGCUGCCCCUGGCGCACCGGGACCCGCCGCGUAGAGAAUGCAAACGAUCUAUGGGCGCAUAUUGCUUACCACCAGGCGGUAGAAGGGGAUGAAAGAAAUAUUGAUGGCUACUUCUCCUUAAAGAGAGAAGAAGCAGUCGUGGAAGAAUGGAGAACUAAGCUAUCCCUUGGGGAGUUCGGAUGCAUAAUGGGGAGCGACCGGGUCCAUUAUUGACCCCCGGAGGAAACAUCAACUAUAUCCUUAGCCGGGGUGAAAGCGCGGAAGGCAGAAAAGCUGACCCCCGCUCAGGAGUUCGCUCAAUGCACUCGAUACUUAAGGGAAGGAGGGGAACCCACCCCCACGGACUGGUUCAACUGUCCGGAUUUGGUGCCUGGGUUGCGGGGCCAUGAGCUCCUCGUCCAGCUCCGGGAGGAUCUGGAAACUAAGGGCCGUCAUGUGCCGAGAUGGGGUCUAACUAAAUGGAAGAAGGGAAAGAUGAUGAAUGUGCUGUUCCAUGCAGUAGCGUGUCUACUAAGGGAAUACGCAAAUUUAAAGGCACAGAUGCAUACGGCGGGUAAGGAGUUGCUGGAGCGGACAGCAAAGAGCUCCAAAGCGACGCUUAUUGAAAGCACUGGCUGUAUGAUGCUGCUAGCAGAAAAUGGCGCUGAAAGAAGCACGAGCCAUCCAGGGAACCCGGAAAGGAGGGGCGGAGUUUCAGAAGACCCGGCGGGGAUCCGCCUAGCGACUCCGCCCCCUGGGGCAACGGCCCCACCUCCUUGCCACGGGGAGGGGGCAAUGGGAGGAGGAAUGUACCCAACGCUCCCAGAUGAAGAACUUAACUCUUUCUCUGCCGCAGCUCACCCGAUAGCUCUGAUGAAGCAUGUUGCGGAUGAAGAAGGAACUACGCAUACCACUGUUAUCUCUCGCACACACACCCGACCAGAAAUUCAGGAACUUUGUAGAGAAUCUAAAAUAAAACCAGAAGAAACCUUGGCCAUGUGGUUAGGACGAUUAAUAGUGGAAUUCGGAUCUGCCACUUUAGACAAGGAAGAAGCGAGUGCCCUGACCCGACAAGCGGCAUGGAGCGGAGGGCGUGCUACCUACUUGAAUGUGGUCACAGACAGUGCCCACUGGCCCAUCCCGCUCCCGGCGCUCGUAGUGGGACAGGUAACCCACAAAUUUCACACCUGGCAUGAAGGCCGCCUGCAGAAGGCUACUGCAGAGCAACUCCUCCUGGCCAUAGUUGGGAUGUCAUAUCUUUCAUGGAGCCCGAGAACGAAUCCAAUGGGACUAACAGCAGUCCAACGCAAAGAGAGAUGGGCUCAUCGCCACCUAUCGAACCCCGGGGCAAUUCCAACGCCCCUGGAAGCUAUAGAUGCCUGAGUGGAGGUAUACGGAGGAGCAAAUGCCGUUACACUCCAACUCUUUUUGAACCCAAUGGCGGGUCAACCAGUGGGAAAUCUCUUAGGCCAUCUCCCACGACUGCAGGGACUCAUGAAGCAAGGUGAAGAAGCUUCUGAUGAUAUAAGGGACUGACCUUCAGCAUACCCAGCCGAAACACUGAGACCCAGACGUCAAGAGUUUACCCCCCGGCGAGAGCCAUGGUGGUCACCUCCAAGAACCCCGAAGGAAAGAACUACAAAGGAAAGGAAUAUGUUUGGUUUUCUUCUCGCCCGCUCUGGACUUACAAAGACUCAGUUGCGAAUUUUGGGAGAAAGGGCCCAGUGUCGUCUGGCCGAAACAUUAGGAUUCAAAUUCGAAGACCCACCAAAAAACGAAUAAUGGCCGUCGGCUCUGCCGGCGGCCUUCUCCAACUCAAACCUGACCCCACUGAUCUUCGUCCAUACGCUGAACUCACUGUUUACAACCCUACUGAUCCGGAUGACCAAAAACAAGUAUUCUUCCUUCUCGAUACUGGAGCUCAAAACAAUGUGAUUACCUCAAUGAUACCUCAUCAAAAGACUACCAAAACGAUCAAGGUACAAGGGCUUAAUGCUAUCGCCGUCACAACAAAGGUCAAAUUUUGGGUCCAGGGCCACCGAUACCCCCUGGAGGCUGUCCUAGGGGGCAUCAACAUUUUAGGGAUCCCAGGGAUAAGAGCGCUUGACCUUAAAGAACAAGUGCUACAGGCAUUACCCAUUAUUAUCCCAGAACAGGAUUGGCAUCGACCAACGCUUCGUAACACCUCCACCUGGCGAUAUCGACCAAUCCCAACUAAGGGUCCUCUAAAACAAUCCCUUACUGACCUCCUGCGGCGACUCGAGCGACAAGGCUGUAUUAAGACCGUAACUGCCAGCACCUACCUGUCAUCAGGAUGGGGAGUUGCGAAACCUGGAAAGCCUAACAAAGCCUGAUUAGUCGUAGACUAUAGAGAGGUUAAUAAAAGAUGUCACGUACUUCAACAACCUAAUCCUUCUACUCUGCCACAAUGUACGUUUGAGAUGGCACAGUUCCAACAAAGUAAGUGGGUCGGAGUCACAUUGGAUCUAAAAAACAUGUUCUUUUCCAUCCCGAUAACUGACCUGGAAGGAAUACUAAACAUGUGCAUUGAUGGCAUUAUGUACAGGUGGACGGUUUGUCCACAAGGAUAUCGCAACGCUCCGUCAUUAGCUGCUGCUGCCAUGAAUAAUACCCUAAAGAAUUUUCAAGCCUCAUACUCUCUUCCCCCAGAGGAGGAAUUGAGAAUUUGGAGUUAUGUCGAUGAUAUUGCCAUCAUGGGUCGUGAUAGUUCCGUAGUUGCUAGUAUAGUCAACCAACUAGUCGCUCACCUUCAGAGUGAGGGAUGGACGAUCAACGAGGAAAAGUCAGGCCUACAUGCUGUAGAUGACAUCAUGUUCCUUGGCACUUGAUACAUCGGUUCCAUCAGCCACGGAAUCUCGCAUGAGGGUCCUAACAUCGAUCCAUUAAAAACAUUCCUCCCUGUCACUAAGAGGCACUUUCAACAGCUUUUGGGUCAUUUGAAUUGGUAUCGACAUUAUGUUGGACCCAGUGAUUUGGCACUCCUCACCAAAUUGCAGCGACAGAUCCGUAACAAAUCCCAAAAGUCCACGCCCUGGACGAAAGGAGACCAGCGGAACCUGCUUCGCCUGCUAGCCACGGUUAAAGAUACCCAGCUCCAUGCCAUCAAUCUAGGUGAGUCACUAACUGUAACCCUUGGGUUCACCACAAACCACGUGUGGGCUGUCGUACAUAACCCUCGCGAUGAGCUAGUAUACACGGCCCAUAAGACGCUUCAAGCGGCACAACAUCGAUAUGGAGCUGUAGGAAAAAUCCUCCUAGCCGAACAACUGGUGGAGCCAUUAGCAAGGGGGCAUGGGACGUUACGCGCUCCUGGUGCCACAUUGUUAUCCUUGCUGGAUGCGGAAAGAGUCGACCCACAUUUUCAGGGGGAGUCUAAGACCUGGAAUACGCUAGUGCUUACCCACCAUUACAACUGGCAUUGUUGGAGGUUGGAAGACAUGGCACCUGAUCCAAGCCCAGAAGGUGAGGAGAAGGUCCCUACACUGUAUGGAACUUCUGCCUCGGCGUGGAUGGCCUCAGAUGGAACUUCCCGACAUGGCGGAGGCUAUGGGUAUUAUUGCAAGGCUUGUAACGAUAGGGAAAUAUUUCAAGCCAACCCAGAUGAUAAUUCGGCCCCAAAAUGUGAAUUGUUAGGAUUCCUCAAGGUACUAGAACAUUGUCUGACACAUCAUAAUGACUCGCUCCCCGUUCCAAUCAUCGCAAUUGAUUCGCAAUACAUUUAUAAAAUUCUUACCGGUACAGCUUUUCCCUCCGAAAAUUUAAAUGAUUGGCAAGACAUCUGGAAAACUUUAACUAAAUUUGUACGUCUCCUGUUGGUUAAGCACACUAAGUCCCACCGUCCGGAUACUGAUCCAGUACAUGAGGUCAUUGAUAAGCUCUUAGAAGAUCCACUCCAGACCAACAUAGUCUUGCCUAUCACAUCUACCUCCGGUCCUGAAGUAAAUCCAUUCCUCACAUGGCUUCACUAAAAUUGGGGUCACCCAGGACCACGGGCCUGCCAUCAACGUUGGUGCCGAACCCUUACGGAGCUGGCCUCAUACGGAGCUCGGUGCGAUUGGAAAAAGGUAGCUCAGGCCUGUGAGAUACGUGCAAAAGAAAAGUGCCAUAGAACCAAACAUCAGCUCGGAGCUUUCGAUUCUUCACAGUUUCAGGCAGGAAAAGUUUGGCAGGUAGAUUUGCUAGGACCCCUCCCAGGGUCUAAGCCACAAAAUAAAGGACUAGUUGUUGUCGACUUGGGAACAAGACAAUUACAAGUUAUUCCUUUACGAAAAAGCAAUGCCACUGCUGUUAUUUCUGCCUUAACUUCUGUAUUUGCCACCUGGCAACCUCCUCAUGAGAUUCAGUCUGAUGGGGGACCCCCUUUUAACUCUAAUGCUCUAGACAAAUUUGCUCGUCUUCACAAUGUAGCCUGGCAUCUCCAUCUGCCAUAUCACCCGCAGUCCAACGGCGUUGUGGAAAGACACAUAGGCCUGUACAAAGAACAACUCCUCCUCAGAGGAGGAGGGACGUUUAAAAACUGGACUAAAUUCAAUCAUGGUGUUCUCAUCUCACUGAACACUGCAAAACCAUUAUGGGACGAAGCUAAUGUCCAGGAACCCCCACCUUGGGAACCCAAGCUCCAGCCAGAUGAGUUAGUGUGGAUCUCAAUACUGCACCCCCAUCAGUCUCAUCCACAAGUUCACAAAGGAACCGUUCAACGGUCAGGACAAUAUCCUAAUACCUAUUCGGUUCAAUUAGAAGAAUAGCCUGAUCGUCCUAUUAUCGUUCAUCACAACUGGAUGACUCGCCGCUCCGACGUUCACCCAGUAUCCUUACAGUGAAUUCAGUUAUAAGUCUCUUUUGUUUUGUGUUGUUGUCCUCUUUCUUCACAGGUUUAAUUCCAGCAAAGCAGUAAUCCACAACCGCCCGAUUGUGAGAUUCAUCGAGUACCAAACUACAGUUCAUUCGAGUCAAUAGAGCGAUGGUUGUGAAGGAGACACUGAGACGGCGAACGUCCAUUCGCUCAGGACUUACUAUAACACUAUUCCCUCUCAUUGUAUUAAGUAUUUUAUUAACAUUGUCUGUUAAUAGGAGAAGACGGACUGACUACUAAAUGAGGGGAGUCCCAAGCAGAUGUUCUCCAAUCAGAUGAUGAUCAAUAGUUGUUGUUAUAUGUUCAAGUUAUUGUAUUUUGUAAUUUGUUGAAAAGACCGGUCUAUCAAAUUGUUUGUUUGUAUAUAUAUAUAUUAUUGGUUGUUAAAGCUUUGCCAGGUCAGUAAAUCCCAAAACAAAGAUGCCUUAUGAUGUGCUCAUGUGUCUAAAAUUCCAGUUGUGCCGUCGGCAAGGGGGCAUGUCACAACCCAGUGAUUUUGGUGCCUUGGCACGAUGGAAUUUUCCCGCCACAUGACAGCCUCUUGCACAGCAAAGGUUUUCUGUUGCAACAGAAAACCCCCGGUGCAGGAGAGUUCCUGCCAUUCAAAUGCAAAUUUGUGUCCCGCUAUUGGCCAGUUCUAAAUUAUUCCUACGUGGCGGCCAGUGAUUGGCUUGCUAGCCGUUUAAAAUUUUGUGCGACUUCCGCCCAAGUCGGAGAACUUUAAGCACGCUGCAGAGUGCUUCUAAAAGAGAUCUGACUUGCGGCUGAGCUGAUCAAUAGACUGAUCACCUAUCGAUUCUUCUCCCCGUCACCGAGCGCAAUCCCCGACGUACCCUUUCCCCGCUGGCUUGAUUUGUGGACGGAUGAGCUGGUCUGAGCCCUGCCAGCUUGAACAACUAACAUAGUUGUUCAAGCGACCGGACCGUCUGUGUCGCAGCUACAAGCGGCGUAAGUAAAGUUUUACAGCCAUUAAGCUUUGUCCGCCUCUCUAUUCACCAGCCCGCCCAACGAAUGAAUAAUUACUAAAUCACCUCGAGUCGGCUCUGGCCGUCCGAGACAAUGUCUAGAAAAAUUUCUGCUCAGUACUAUCUCAUAACAUUUGGAUAAUUUUGUCACCUCCUUGAAGAGUGCCUCAUCCACCUCUUCUCUCUGAUGUGGUGGUCUAUAAUAAAUCCCCACCAUAUUAUAUGUGGUAUAUCUUUCACUUUUUAUCUUCAUCCAAAUAUGUUCUGGUCUUCUACCUUCUUCUUCCUAAACCAAGUAACCAAGUGUGUAUGUAUGUUCUUCAGGACACAGAAAAAUCUUCCUCUAUCCAGUGAUAACAUGACAAGGCUCUAAUCCUGAUUGUGACCCCUGGCCCCUAUAUUUUUAUAAAUAUUUGUUAUCAUCUUUGACAUAUUCAAAAAUAAAUUAAAAAUGUUUGAUUAUCAGA
Alligator mississippiensis (American alligator) is the source of this 6554-nucleotide long non-coding RNA. RefSeq lists it as uncharacterized. The transcript has 3 exons. Lineage: Eukaryota; Metazoa; Chordata; Crocodylia; Alligatoridae. The record is from RefSeq and is a predicted model, not a curated record.